GUGGCAUUGGCUCAAGAAGAGCACCAGACUUAAAGUCUGGAGGUCUCAGUUCGAAUCUGAGAUGCCACA
Non-coding RNA from Cymbomonas tetramitiformis, 69 nucleotides. The record is from the annotation of a GenBank genome assembly. NCBI's taxonomy places the organism in Eukaryota, Viridiplantae, Chlorophyta, Pyramimonadophyceae, Pyramimonadales, Pyramimonadaceae.